Molecule: microRNA, 22 nt
Filed under: Heligmosomoides polygyrus
Lineage: Eukaryota; Metazoa; Nematoda; Chromadorea; Rhabditida; Heligmosomidae
Description: hpo-miR-5902-3p
Source: miRBase by way of RNAcentral
AAGAGGAGUGUCCUCGCAGUGA